Molecule: ribosomal RNA, 504 nt
Filed under: uncultured bacterium
Lineage: Bacteria
Description: partial 16S ribosomal RNA
Rfam family: Bacterial small subunit ribosomal RNA
Source: RNAcentral
GAUGAACGCUAGCGGCAGGCUUAAUACAUGCAAGUCGAGGGGCAGCAGCUUUAUAGCAAUAUAGAGGCUGGCGACCGGCAAACGGGUGCGGAACACGUACACAACCUUCCUUUAAGAGGGGGAUAGCCCAUAGAAAUGUGGAUUAAUACCCCGUAACAUAUCGGUGUGGCAUCACACUGUUAUUAUAGUUUCGACGCUUGAAGAUGGGUGUGCGGCUGAUUAGGUAGUUGGCGGGGUAAAGGCCCACCAAGCCUUCGAUCAGUAGCUGAUGUGAGAGCAUGAUCAGCCACACGGGCACUGAGACACGGGCCCGACGCCUACGGGAGGCAGCAGUAAGGAAUAUUGGUCAACGGACGCAAGUCUGAACCAGCCAUGCCGCGUGAAGGAUGAAGGUCCUCUGGAUUGUAAACUUCUUUUAUAGGGGGCGAAAAAAGGGAAUUCUUUCUCACUUGACAGUACCCUAUGAAUAAGCACCGGCUAACUCCGUGCCAGCAGCCGCCGCGG